This 72-nucleotide transfer RNA is filed under the name Ovis aries (sheep). It matches the Rfam family "tRNA". Rfam says of the family: Transfer RNA (tRNA) molecules are approximately 80 nucleotides in length. Lineage: Eukaryota; Metazoa; Chordata; Mammalia; Artiodactyla; Bovidae. The record is from Rfam by way of RNAcentral.
UCCCUGGUGGCUCAGACGGUAAAGCGUCUGCCUGCAGUGUGGUAGACCCAGGUUCGAUUCCUGGGUCGGGAA